GACGAACGCUGGCGGCGUGCUUAACACAUGCAAGUCGAACGAAGAGCGAUGGAAGCUUGCUUCUAUCACUCUUAGUGGCGAACGGGUGAGUAACGCGUAAUCAACCUGCCCUUCAGAGGGGGACAACAGUUGGAAACGACUGCUAAUACCGCAUACGAUCUAAUCUCGGCAUCGAGGAUAGAUGAAAGGUGGCCUCUACAUGUAAGCUAUCACUGAAGGAGGGGAUUGCGUCUGAUUAGCUAGUUGGAGGGGUAACGGCCCACCAAGGCGAUGAUCAGUAGCCGGUCUGAGAGGAGGAACGGCCACAUUGGGACUGAGACACGGCCCAGACUCCUACGGGAGGCAGCAGUGGGGAAUCUUCCGCAAUGGACGAAAGUCUGACGGAGCAACGCCGCGUGAGCGAUGACGGCCUUCGGGUUGUAAAGCUCUGUUAAUCGGGACGAAAGGCCUUCUUGCGAAUAGUGAGAAGGAUUGACGGUACCGGAAUAGAAAGCCACGGCUAACUACGUG
This 510-nucleotide ribosomal RNA is filed under the name uncultured bacterium. RNAcentral's name for it is "partial 16S ribosomal RNA". It matches the Rfam family "Bacterial small subunit ribosomal RNA", at positions 28 to 507 of the family's 1533-position model. The record is from RNAcentral.